CCUACGGGGGGCUGCAGUGGGGAAUAUUGCACAAUGGGCGAAAGCCUGAUGCAGCAACGCCGCGUGAGCGAUGAAGGCCUUCGGGUCGUAAAGCUCUGUCCUCAAGGAAGAUAAUGACGUUACUUGAUCAGGAAGCCCCGGCUAACUACGUGCCAGCAGCCGCGGUAAUACGUAGUGGGCUAGGGUUAGCCGAAAUUACUGGGCGUAAAGGUGGCGUAGGUGGUUUCUUAAGUCAGCGGUGAAAGGCUACGGCUAAACCGUAGUAAGCCUUUGAAACUGGGGAACUUGAGUGCAGGAGAGGAGAGUGGAAUUCCGAGUGUAGCGGUGAAAUGCGUAGAUAUUAGGAGGAACACCAGUUGCGAAGGCGGCUAUCUGGACUGUAACUGACACUGAGGCACGAAAGCGUGGGGAGCAAACAGGAUUAGAUACCCGAGUAGUC
RNAcentral lists this ribosomal RNA (439 nucleotides) under uncultured bacterium. Its description in RNAcentral is "partial 16S ribosomal RNA". It matches the Rfam family "Bacterial small subunit ribosomal RNA", at positions 338 to 795 of the family's 1533-position model. The record is from RNAcentral.